UUCCGGUUGAUCCUGCCGGACCUGACUGCUAUCGGAUUGAUACUAAGCCAUGCGAGUCAUUGUAGUAAUACAAGGCAGACGGCUCAGUAACGCGUAGUCAACCUACCCUAUGGACGGGGAUAACCUCGGGAAACUGAGAAUAAUACCCGAUAGAACAUUAUACCUGGAAUGGUUUAUGUUUCAAAUAAUUUAUUGCCGUAGGAUGGGACUGCGGCCUAUCAGUUUGUUGGUGAGGUAAUGGCCCACCAAGACUAUUACAGGUACGGGCUCUGAGAGGAGUAGCCCGGAGAUGGGUACUGGGACACGGACCCAGGCCCUAUGGGGCGCAGCAGGCGAGAAAACUUUGCAAUGUGCGAAAGCACGACAAGGUUAAUCCGAGUGGUUUCUGCUAAAGGAACCUUUUGUCAGUCCUAGAAACACUGGUGAAUAAGGGGUGGGCAAGUUCUGGUGUCAGCCGCCGCGGUAAAACCAGCACCUCAAGUGGUCAGGAUGAUUAUUGGGCCUAAAGCAUCCGUAGCCUGCUUUGUUAGUUUUCGGUUAAAUCCAUACGCUCAACGUAUGGGCUGCCGGGAAUACUGCAAAGCUAGGGAGUGGGAGAGGUAGACGGUACUCGGUAGGAAGGGGUAAAAUCCUUUGAUCUAUUGAUGACCACCUGUGGCGAAGGCGGUCUACCAGAACACGUCCGACGGUGAGGGAUGAAAGCUGGGGGAGCAAACCGGAUUAGAUACCCGGGUAGUCCCAACUGUAAACUAUGCAAACUCGGUGAUGCAUUGGCUUGAUGCCAAUGCAGUGCCGCAGGGAAGCCGUUAAGUUUGCCGCCUGGGAAGUACGUACGCAAGUAUGAAACUUAAAGGAAUUGGCGGGGGAGCACCACAAGGGUGAAGCCUGCGGUUCAAUUGGAGUCAACGCCGG
Molecule: ribosomal RNA, 912 nt
Filed under: uncultured archaeon
Lineage: Archaea
Description: bacterial SSU rRNA
Rfam family: Archaeal small subunit ribosomal RNA
Source: RNAcentral